Molecule: long non-coding RNA, 766 nt
Filed under: Homo sapiens (human)
Lineage: Eukaryota; Metazoa; Chordata; Mammalia; Primates; Hominidae
Description: non-protein coding lnc-SEM1-5:1
Source: RNAcentral
GGUAUGCCUGCAGCAUCUUUAGUGACCCCUGCUGAUGUUAUCAAGACGAGAUUACAGGUGGCUGCCCGGGCUGGCCAAACCACUUACAGCGGAGUGAUAGACUGCUUUAGAAAGAUACUGCGUGAAGAAGGACCAAAAGCUCUGUGGAAGGGAGCUGGUGGUAUGGAAAUAAUGUGUUCUUAACUAACUCUUUGGUAUCAGGUAAAUUUUUAAAAUAUCUAAUUAUAUCUGUGAUUUCUCCAUUUUUUUAAAGCUCGUGUAUUUCGAUCCUCACCCCAGUUUGGUGUAACUUUGCUGACUUACGAAUUGCUACAGCGAUGGUUCUACAUUGAUUUUGGAGGAGUAAAACCCAUGGGAUCAGAGCCAGUUCCUAAAUCCAGGAUCAACCUGCCUGCCCCGAAUCCUGAUCACGUUGGGGGCUACAAACUGGCAGUUGCUACAUUUGCAGGGAUUGAAAACAAAUUUGGACUUUACCUACCUCUCUUCAAGCCAUCAGUAUCUACCUCAAAGGCUAUUGGUGGAGGCCCAUAGGAAGAUCAGCCCUGGGAUAGUGCUGUCUUUUUGUGGGUACUGCAGUAAAGAACAUCCCUCCUGGGAAUGAAGCAAUGCUUCAUCCCUUUUACGUCCAUCUCUUGUUUAAAUUCAAGUCCAGGCUUUUUUAUCAUGUGAAAUCAUUCAUUUUCUGGGUGUUUUCUUAACCAGAUCAUUGUGAAAUUAUUCAUAAUUAUUAUUUGGCCCUCUGCCCAGAAACCUUUGUUUGCAUCUG